CAGAAUGCCCUUACAAUUUGAUUUCCAUGACAGAUUAACCAAAAAUUUCAAUUGUUCUGUGAUUUUUACCGCUAAUUCUGUUGUUGGGGAAGAUGAUUGGUGCAGGACACAAGUCACAAGGAUUGUAUCACCUAUCUAGUCCAAAUCAGUCAGUUGCCUUCACUUUCGCUGCUUCAACUGAUCUUCUCCACAGUCAUUUGGGUCACCCAAG
RNAcentral lists this unclassified non-coding RNA (211 nucleotides) under Hevea brasiliensis (rubber tree). The record is from RNAcentral. Lineage: Eukaryota; Viridiplantae; Streptophyta; Magnoliopsida; Malpighiales; Euphorbiaceae.